UGACCUACCCAAAGAACAAGUCACGGCUAACUACGUGCCAGCAGCCGCGGUAAUACGUAGGUGACAAGCGUUAUCCGGAUUUACUGGGUGUAAAGGGCGUGUAGGCGGUUCUGUAAGUCAGAAGUGAAAUUCCCGGGCUCAACCUGGGCGCUGCUUCUGAAACUACAGAACUUGAGUACUGGAGGGGAAAGCGGAAUUCCUAGUGUAGCGGUAAAAUGCACAGAUAUUAGGAGGAACACCAGUGGCGAAGGCGGCUUACUGGGCGGUAACUGACGUUGAGGCUCGAAAGCGUGGGGAGCAAACAGGAUUAGAUACCCUG
This 319-nucleotide ribosomal RNA is filed under the name uncultured bacterium. Its description in RNAcentral is "bacterial SSU rRNA". It matches the Rfam family "Bacterial small subunit ribosomal RNA", at positions 470 to 789 of the family's 1533-position model. The record is from RNAcentral.